Onychostoma macrolepis is the source of this 263-nucleotide long non-coding RNA. RefSeq lists it as uncharacterized. Lineage: Eukaryota; Metazoa; Chordata; Actinopteri; Cypriniformes; Cyprinidae. The transcript is spliced from 3 exons. The record is from RefSeq and is a predicted model, not a curated record.
AGGAGCGUCAGAAAAAAAUACCUAAAACAGGGGAAGUUACAAGAAAAUUUGUAAUGGAAGCUGCUGACAGAGAUGCAGGAAACAGAGCUGGAGCAGAGCGGAUCUCCUGUCGAAGAACAUCUCCAAAGCGCCAUGAAUCAUCUGACUAGGCAGUUCGUGAAGACAGAUAACCUGGACAGAAGUCAGUUCAAGAUACAGCCUCCACACCAGGCUUCUCACUCACAAGGAUUGCUGUCUACUAGAUAGUAUGUGUACUCUUCAGA